AACACUUUGAUUAGCCAAAGGUUGAGAAGCGAUUAUCUGUUCUUAUCAGCUUAUAUCUGAUAUGUCCUGCAUCACAGGACCAGAAUAAUAAAGUGAUUUUUGGAAAAUGAUGGAGUGCUAGGGGUUUACUGCACCACUGUCACAGGUUGGCCUGGUAUUGCAGUACAAUGACUGCUCACUUGGU
This is a small nuclear RNA of Cryptotermes secundus, 184 nucleotides long. RefSeq annotates it as U2 spliceosomal RNA. The transcript has a single exon. The record is from RefSeq and is a predicted model, not a curated record. NCBI's taxonomy places the organism in Eukaryota, Metazoa, Arthropoda, Insecta, Blattodea, Kalotermitidae.